RNAcentral lists this ribosomal RNA (177 nucleotides) under Pteropus alecto (black flying fox). The record is from RNAcentral. Lineage: Eukaryota; Metazoa; Chordata; Mammalia; Chiroptera; Pteropodidae.
AUCUAUGGCCAUGCUACCCUGAACAAGCCCGAUCUUGUCUAAUCUUGGGAGCUGAACAGGUUUGGGUCUUGUUAGUACUUCAAUGAGGGAUCUUGUCUAAUCUUGGGAGCUGAACAGGUUUGGGCCUUGUUAGUACUUCGAUGAGAGACCACCUAGAAAGACCAGGUGCUGUAGGUG